Molecule: transfer RNA, 87 nt
Filed under: Hyphomicrobiales bacterium
Lineage: Bacteria; Pseudomonadati; Pseudomonadota; Alphaproteobacteria; Hyphomicrobiales
Also listed under: 1 other name
Description: tRNA-Leu
Rfam family: tRNA
About the family: Transfer RNA (tRNA) molecules are approximately 80 nucleotides in length. Their secondary structure includes four short double-helical elements and three loops (D, anti-codon, and T loops). Further hydrogen bonds mediate the characteristic L-shaped molecular structure. tRNAs have two regions of fundamental functional importance: the anti-codon, which is responsible for specific mRNA codon recognition, and the 3' end, to which the tRNAs corresponding amino acid is attached (by aminoacyl-tRNA synthetases). tRNAs cope with the degeneracy of the genetic code in two manners: having more than one tRNA (with a specific anti-codon) for a particular amino acid; and 'wobble' base-pairing, i.e. permitting non-standard base-pairing at the 3rd anti-codon position.
Source: RNAcentral
GCGGACAUGGCGAAACUGGUAGACGCAAGGGACUUAAAAUCCCUCGGUAGUAAUACUGUGCGGGUUCGAGUCCCGCUGUCCGCACCA